AACGAACGCUGGCGGCGUGCCUAACACAUGCAAGUCGAACGUGAUCCGCCCUUCGGGGUGGUGAAAGUGGCGCACGGGUGAGUAACGCGUGGAUAAUCUGCCCGAGGAUUUGGGAUAACAUCUCGAAACGGCUGCUAAUACCGCAUGCGCCCUACGGGGGAAAGAUUUAUCGCCGAAGGAUUGGCCCGCGUCUGAUUAGCUAGUUGGUGAGGUAAUGGCUCACCAAGGCGACGAUCAGUAGCUGGUCUGAGAGGAUGAUCAGCCACACUGGGACUGAGACACGGCCCAGACUCCUACGGGAGGCAGCAGUGGGGAAUAUUGGACAAUGGGCGCAAGCCUGAUCCAGCCAUGCCGCGUGAGUGAUGAAGGCCCUAGGGUUGUAAAGCUCUUUCAGCGAGGAGGAUAAUGACGUUACUCGCAGAAGAAGCCCCGGCUAACUUCGUG
Molecule: ribosomal RNA, 444 nt
Filed under: uncultured bacterium
Lineage: Bacteria
Description: bacterial SSU rRNA
Rfam family: Bacterial small subunit ribosomal RNA
Source: RNAcentral